CCUACGGGAGGCAGCAGUGAGGAAUAUUUGUCAAUGGACGAGAGUCUGAACCAGCCAAGUAGCGUGAAGGAUGACUGCCCUAUGGGUUGUAAACUUCUUUUAUAUGGGAAUAAAAUGUUCCAAGUGUGGGAUUUUGUAUGUACCAUACGAAUAAGGAUCGGCUAACUCCGUGCCAGCAGCCGCGGUAAUACGGAGGAUCCGAGCGUUAUCCGGAUUUAUUGGGUUUAAAGGGAGCGUAGGUGGAUUGUUAAGUCAGUUGUGAAAGUUUGCGGCUCAACCGUAAGAUUGCAGUUGAAACUGGCAGACUUGAGUAAAGUAGGGGUAGGCGGAAUUCGUGGUGUAGCGGUGAAAUGCUUAGAUAUCACGAAGAACACCGAUUGCGAAGGCAGUUCACUGGACUGCAACUGACACUGAGGCUCGAAAGUGUGGGUAUCAAACAGGAUUAGAUACCCUGGUAGUC
Molecule: ribosomal RNA, 460 nt
Filed under: uncultured bacterium
Lineage: Bacteria
Description: partial 16S ribosomal RNA
Rfam family: Bacterial small subunit ribosomal RNA
Source: RNAcentral